This 85-nucleotide transfer RNA is filed under the name Romeriopsis navalis LEGE 11480. It matches the Rfam family "tRNA". Rfam says of the family: Transfer RNA (tRNA) molecules are approximately 80 nucleotides in length. Lineage: Bacteria; Bacillati; Cyanobacteriota; Cyanophyceae; Leptolyngbyales; Leptolyngbyaceae. The record is from Rfam by way of RNAcentral.
GGAGAGGUGUCCGAGUGGUUGAUGGUGACGCACUCGAAAUGCGUUUCGGGGAAACCCGACGGGGGUUCGAAUCCCCCCCUCUCCG